Non-coding RNA from Vigna umbellata (rice bean), 3502 nucleotides. NCBI's taxonomy places the organism in Eukaryota, Viridiplantae, Streptophyta, Magnoliopsida, Fabales, Fabaceae. The record is from RefSeq and is a predicted model, not a curated record.
AUUUAUCUCAAUUUUCUCCCCGCCUCUUACAUGCUUUCUCAAGCGCCCUGUUGAAAGCUUGCCGCCGUUGAAGGCUCGUAGCAGUUGAAGGUUCGUCGCCGUUGAAGACUCACCGUUAUCGAAGGCUUUUCCGCAUUCUGCCGUUGCCGAACUGUCAAAGGCUUUACCACCAUCGUCGAAGGUUCGCCGCUGUCGAAGGCUCGCAGCCGUCGAAAGUUCGUCGCUGUCUCUCUAAUUGAGUUGUGGCAUUGCUACUUAUAGCACCGCACAAGCUGAAAUGCUGCCAUUUCUUUGUUUUUCAGCACUCAGCAGAGCUCAGCGCUGAAACACUGGAGGAGCAGGCUUCAGUAUUGGAGAAAGAACUGAGCUUGAAAGGAAGGGAAACUCUUGAUGUGUUGAAAGAAUUGGCUAGACCGUGAGCAGUAUAUUGCACUAUAAAAAUAGUUCAACCGCACUGUACUAUAACUGAACUAAAUUUAGUUCAGUUCAGUUACUCUGAACUAUUUUUUAUUUCAGUGCAGUUUUCCUAAACUGGUUUAUAGUUAACUAUAAACUUUUAUAGUGCAGUGCACUAUAGGACAGUUUGCCCACCCCUAGUUGUUGGCCAUGGAAGCAGCAACGGUAGCAACCUCUUCUCUGAAGAAACUGAAGCGGAAGCGCAACCUGGCAAAAAGCGAUCCUGAACUCGAACGACUCAACUCACUUCCGUGGAACUCUUCUCUUCCUCAAAACGAUGACGAUGACGCUUUCUCCUUGUUCAUUGGCACCAACGAACUCGAAGGAGGUUUUCUUUCGCUCGAGGAGAUUGAUGAGGCGGAGUAUGGUUUGAAUAUUCCUGAGCCUGAAGAUGGCAAGAGGAAGACGAAGAAGAAGUCUAUACAGAAUGAAGAUGUGAAGAAACAACAGCAAGAUGGAGGUGAUGGUGCUAGUAGUGACGAGGUCGAAGCUGAGUUGGACGAGAGUGUGAAGGCUAAAGAGAAGAAAAAGAAGAAGAAGAAGAAGACGAAAAAGAAGGAUGCUACGGAUGGCCCGAAAGUUGAGCAACCAGAUGCUGGUUUAGAUGCUAAUGUUGAAGAUGGUAAAGGUGAAGAGGACAAUGAUGAAGCUGAAUUUUAUGCAUGGAGUGAGUUGAGGCUUCACCCUCUCCUAAUGAAAGCAAUAUGCAAGCUUGGCUUCAAGGAACCAACACCAAUACAGAAGGCUUGCAUUCCAGCUGCUGCUCAUCAAGGGAAGGAUGUUGUUGGGGCUGCAGAGACCGGAUCUGGUAAAACAUUAGCGUUUGGUUUGCCCAUUUUGCAACGCAUUUUGGAGGAGAGAGAAAAGGACGCAAACAUGGUUGAAGAACCUGGAAAGUAUUCUCCUAAAGGAGUUUUGAGGGCUCUCAUUAUUGCUCCAACUAGAGAACUUGCACUUCAGGUCACUGAUCAUCUGAAAGCUGUUGCAAAGUAUAUUAAUGUUAGGGUGACCCCUAUAGUUGGGGGGAUUUUAGCAGAAAAGCAGGAGAGACUUUUAAAAGCAAAGCCUGAGAUUGUUGUCGGAACUCCAGGGAGGUUAUGGGAACUUAUGUCAACUGGAGAAAAACAUCUAGUUGAGUUACAUUCACUCUCUUUCUUUGUGCUUGAUGAGGCCGAUCGGAUGGUACAAAGUGGUCAUUUUAAGGAGUUGCAGUCUAUAAUUGAUAUGCUUCCCAUGUCCAACAUCUCUACUGAUGAUAAUUCUAAAAAUGUACAAAAAGGUUGUGUUACAGUUUCUAGUUAUCAAAGAAAGAAAAGACAAACACUUGUUUUUUCAGCUACUGUUGCACUGUCUGCUGAUUUUCGCAAGAAGCUAAAACGUGGCUCAGGUCAAAAAAAGCAAUCAUCAACAGAUGGAUUGAAUUCUAUCGAAACUCUUUCUGAGCGCGCAGGAAUGAGAUCCAAUGCUGCAAUUAUUGAUCUUACUAAUCCAUCUAUAUUAGCAGCUAAGCUUGAGGAGUCAUUUAUUGAAUGCAGAGAAGAAGAUAAAGAUGCAUAUUUGUAUUAUAUUUUGACUGUCCAUGGACAAGGUCGCACCAUAGUUUUCUGCACGUCAAUUGCAGCUUUACGUCAUAUUUCUUCCAUAUUACGGAUUCUUGGAAUCAAUGUUUGGACUCUUCAUGCUCAAAUGCAGCAGCGAGCACGAUUGAAGGCCAUUGAUCGCUUUCGGGAAAAUGAAAAUGGCAUACUUGUUGCUACAGAUGUUGCUGCCAGGGGUCUUGAUAUUCCUGGUGUUAGAACUGUUGUCCAUUAUCAGCUUCCACAUUCAGCAGAGGUUUAUGUUCAUAGAAGUGGAAGAACAGCCAGAGCUUCCGCCGAAGGUUGUAGCAUUGCUUUAAUAUCACCAAAAGAUACGUCCAAGUUUGCUUCACUGUGCAAAUCAUUUUCUAAGGAUAACUUUCAGCGGUUUCCUUUAGAGAACUCUUACAUGCCAGAGGUCCUAAAAAGACUGUCUCUUGCACGACAAAUAGACAAGAUAACAAGGAAAGAUUCCCAGGUAAAGGCUGAGAAAAACUGGUUUGAUCGGAAUGCUAGCUCAGUUGAAUUAGUUACUGAAAAUUAUGACAGUGAAGAGGAGCAAGUGAACAAACAUAAGGAAAUAAAGGCCAGCUCUAGACAAUUGAAGAAAUUGCAGGAGGAGCUCAAAAUGCUGAUUUCUCGCCCAUUACAAUCAAAAUCAUUUUCACAUCGGUAUUUAGCAGGGUCUGGUGUCACACCCCUCAUGCAGGAGCAAUUGCAACAGUUAGCAAGGCAAAAAUUAAGUGAUCACCAGGGUUCUAGUCUAGGCAAAAAGGGAAAAUUGGUUGUGAUUGGUCAAGAUUGCAUGGAUGCACUUCAAGCUCUUCGAAGUGGUGGUGAAGAGGUGCGAAUGGAUAUCAAGGAGUUGGCCGGAAAACAGAGAAAUAUAGAGAAUUUAAAAAGAAAGCGAAAAGAGGAGAAAAAACGUUUGCGUGAUCAGCGUAGAAAGCAGAAGAAAAAGCUAAAAUACGGGGAUGAAUAGAAUUGUAUACAUAACAGAGCCAUUAGAUUGCUGGCACAGAGUCUUGGGACCUUCGGGGGGUUAACAUAGCUCGGAAUUUGGCCUGAUGUGUUUACUCUUCAUUAAGCAAAUGCUGAAUAUUUUGAACAACAAAUCUAGGUUCAAGUAGGUCGAAAGAGGGAACAUGUGGAACACUUUCAUCCUGAAAAUGUACUCUAUCAUUAUAAGGUAAUGGCAUCUUUAGAGCCUUGAAGAGACUACAUUGGCAGUUCUGAUCGGAAAUUGUAGGCAUUAAAAACCCCUACAAAGGUCAAAUUAUAGCUUUACCAACCCUCAAAUCAUUCCCCUAGUUUUUCAUCAUGAGCCCAAAGAGGAUUCCCAAUCGCUUCUUCCAUUGAAUCCUCCAGGGCACCAACUGCUACUUCAUGUUAUGUGCUCUUAUUUAUUAUGUAAGUUUUACAAAUAUGCAACAUGAUCUAAAUCAUAAUUAUAUUUUGGAAGUUGUCCU